Small nuclear RNA from Callorhinchus milii (elephant shark), 116 nucleotides. Its record names the gene U5. It matches the Rfam family "U5 spliceosomal RNA". Rfam says of the family: U5 RNA is a component of both types of known spliceosome. The precise function of this molecule is unknown, though it is known that the 5' loop is required for splice site selection and p220 binding, and that both the 3' stem-loop and the Sm site are important for Sm protein binding and cap methylation. The record is from Ensembl. NCBI's taxonomy places the organism in Eukaryota, Metazoa, Chordata, Chondrichthyes, Chimaeriformes, Callorhinchidae.
AUGCUCUGGUUUCUCUUCAGAUCGUAUAAAUCUUUCGCCUUUUACUAAAGAUUUCCGUGGAGAGGAGCAUUUACGAGUUUGAAACUAAUUUUUUUAGGCUCUGCCUCGGCAGAGCU